This 1763-nucleotide unclassified non-coding RNA is filed under the name Leishmania donovani. RNAcentral's name for it is "gene:unknown". The record is from RNAcentral. Lineage: Eukaryota; Euglenozoa; Kinetoplastea; Trypanosomatida; Trypanosomatidae.
UUUUGCUGUCCUCUCCUAUGAUCGACUCUUCUAUCUCCAUUCCACGCGCACACCCUCACCCACACCCACCCCUGUCCCCCCCCCCUAACGCUCCUGAUCUCCUUACAGUUUCCAUCCCCAACGCUGAUAGUCGUGGGGCAUGACACGAGCUCAGCUAUGAGUCCGUGUUGUGUGCGCAUACACGCACAGAUACACACAGAAAGCGAGAGACGCCUACCGCCGACUGUCAAUAUCCUCGCCAGAGGACAAAGAAGUGGAAGGAGGGGGGGGCGUAAGGAAAGCGUAAGGCUUACGAUCGCCUCAUGUGCGCCACGCACGAGUGCAGCCGAGGCGGUGCACAUUAUGCGGGCCCAAAACUCAUGAUUUUGCGUGUUCAAGAGAUCGCUGGACAGCAACUCCACCGUAACGGAUGGCUGGGCGACUGACCACGCGUGCCAAGCCGGCCUGAGGCUCGGCGCCAUGGGAAGAUGCCUGCACGGCCGGGUUGGAGGAGGGGGAUUUGCCCACCCACAUGCCACACCCGGCUACCAUGAUCCUGUUUUUACCUGUUCUCGAAGGUUCUCCUUCGCCAUUUCGCAAACGCCUCCGUCCGGCGAACAGGAGGCGAGAAAGAGAUGAGAGGGGAGUGUGGUCGCUGGACGGUAAAUCAGAAUGAAGAGAGCGGCGGGUCUGCGUCUCAUCAUCCUUUGGUGUGUGUGUGUGUGUGCUCGCAAAUUUGAGAUGGGGCUAGUGGGAGUGGCUGGAGGGCGAGGGGUGUGAGAGAGCGACGGGGUAGUCAGGCGGGCGCUGGGUACAACCAAGACGGCAGGGGGGUCACACACACGUGCGCCGCUUCACGCUGCUGCCUUAUCCUCGCAGCGAAAGCGGCAAGCGCAUAGUGCUGUGUCUCCCCAUCACGGCGCCGUCGUCGAUGUUACACCCCCUUACGAAGAAAAAGGUCGGGGCACGCUUCUUUCUUCGACCUGGCCUUCUUUCCUUUCCUAUGAGGCGACGUGCUUCUCUCCUACUCCCCCCCCCCUUCCCGCAUAUGCACGCGUCUCCCUCGCGUCGCGAUCUCGAUCCUCUGCGCUAUCGUAUCUCCCUCACUUUGGAUGCCUUCGUUUGAUGGAGAACUCACAGCACCCUGGGAAGUGAACCGUGGUGAGGGUGGUUGGGGAGAUACGCCGGGCAUGCACAGUGCCUCUGCCCCCCCCUCCCGCAUCCCUUCACAGGCAUACACACCACAAGCUCCAUCAGCCAAAGUAACAAGAGAUGAAGAGAAAGCAAUAACGCGCGCGAGAGCGAGAAGGCGAGACAUAUAUUAUGGGGAAUGCCGACGGUCAACUCUCCUGCUUACCUCCGCACCUCCUCCGCUCUUCGUCCUGCGCCAGCAAGUGGGCGUGCACCGGUCCCUGCGGAGGUUUUUCCUUUAUUGGCUUCCUUUUCGCGCGCGUGUGUGUGGAUCCUUUUCGCUCGCCUUCCGCGGGGCGCAUACGCGUGCGGCAAGAUUCAAGGGUGCGAGGGACGGACGACGGAGGCGCUUUUCUUACAUUCCCUUGCCCACUGCGAGCGAUAACUGCACUUCGAUCGUCAGUGCGCCUUCUGGGUCCCUCCUCCCUCGUUGCUGCCGCUAUCCGUGCCCUCACAGUAAGUCCCGCGACACCCCACCCCUUCAUGUAUCCACCCGGUGAGACAGGAAAGUGGAAGGAAAGGUGUUUCCUCACUCCCGUCCUGUGCACAAGCGCAAGCACAUGCGGGUAUGUCUGCUCUUGUAUGGAGGACGC